RNAcentral lists this ribosomal RNA (294 nucleotides) under uncultured bacterium. RNAcentral describes it as "partial 16S ribosomal RNA". It matches the Rfam family "Bacterial small subunit ribosomal RNA", at positions 29 to 350 of the family's 1533-position model. The record is from RNAcentral.
AGCGAACGCUGGCGGCAGGCCUAACACAUGCAAGUCGAACGAACCCUUCGGGGUUAGUGGCAGACGGGUGAGUAACACGUGGGAACGUGCCCUUUGGUUCGGAACAACUCAGGGAAACUUGAGCUAAUACCGGAUAAGCCCUUACGGGGAAAGAUUUAUCGCCGAAAGAUCGGCCCGCGUCUGAUUAGCUAGUUGGUGUGGUAACGGCGCACCAAGGCGACGAUCAGUAGCUGGUCUGAGAGGAUGAUCAGCCACAUUGGGACUGAGACACGGCCCAAACUCCGUACGGGGGCG